AGUGAACGCUGGCGGUAGGCCUAACACAUGCAAGUCGAACGGCAGCACAGUAAGAGCUUGCUCUUACGGGUGGCGAGUGGCGGACGGGUGAGGAAUACAUCGGAAUCUACUUUUUCGUGGGGGAUAACGUAGGGAAACUUACGCUAAUACCGCAUACGACCUACGGGUGAAAGCAGGGGAUCUUCGGACCUUGCGCGAUUGAAUGAGCCGAUGUCGGAUUAGCUAGUUGGCGGGGUAAAGGCCCACCAAGGCGACGAUCCGUAGCUGGUGUGAGAGGAUGAUCGGCCACACUGGAACUGAGACACGGUCCAGAGUCCUACGGGAGGCAGCAGUGGGGAAUAUUGGACAAUGGGCGCAAGCCUGAUCCAGCCAUACCGCGUGGGUGAAGAAGGCCUUCGGGUUGUAAAGCCCUUUUGUUGGGAAAGAAAAGCAGCAGGUUAAUACCCCGCUGUUCUGACGGUACCCAAAGAAUAAGCACCGGCUAACUUCGUG
RNAcentral lists this ribosomal RNA (492 nucleotides) under uncultured bacterium. RNAcentral's name for it is "partial 16S ribosomal RNA". It matches the Rfam family "Bacterial small subunit ribosomal RNA", at positions 29 to 507 of the family's 1533-position model. The record is from RNAcentral.